RNAcentral lists this ribosomal RNA (253 nucleotides) under uncultured bacterium. RNAcentral's name for it is "partial 16S ribosomal RNA". It matches the Rfam family "Bacterial small subunit ribosomal RNA", at positions 524 to 776 of the family's 1533-position model. The record is from RNAcentral.
UACAUGGGGUGCAAACGUUGCUCGGAAUUAUUGGGCGUAAAGCGCGCGUAGGCGGUUUCCUAAGUCGGAUGUGAAAGCCCUUGGCUUAACUGAGGAAGUGCAUCCGAAACUGGGAAGCUUGAGUAUGUAAGAGGGUCGCGGAAUUCCCGGUGUAGAGGUGAAAUUCGUAGAUAUCGGGAGGAACACCGGUGGCGAAGGCGGCGACCUGGUUCAAAACUGACGCUGAGGCGCGAAAGCGUGGGGAGCAAACAGG